GACGUAGGUGGCGAGCGUUGGCCGGAAUUACUGGGCGUAAAGGGUGCGUAGGCGGCUCCUUAAGUGAGGUGUGAAAUCCCUGGGCUCAACCCAGGAACUGCACUUCAAACUGGGGAGCUAGAGUGCAGGAGAGGAAAGCGGAAUUCCCGGUGUAGCGGUGAAAUGCGUAGAGAUCGGGAGAAACACCAGUGGCGAAGGCGGCUUUCUGGACUGUAACUGACGCUGAGGCACGAAAGCGUGGGUAGCAAACAGG
This 253-nucleotide ribosomal RNA is filed under the name uncultured bacterium. RNAcentral describes it as "partial 16S ribosomal RNA". It matches the Rfam family "Bacterial small subunit ribosomal RNA", at positions 524 to 776 of the family's 1533-position model. The record is from RNAcentral.